RNAcentral lists this transfer RNA (364 nucleotides) under uncultured cyanobacterium. RNAcentral's name for it is "16S-23S ribosomal RNA intergenic spacer". The stretch from base 133 to 206 matches the Rfam family "tRNA". The record is from RNAcentral. Lineage: Bacteria; Bacillati; Cyanobacteriota.
AAGGGAGACCUAAUUCGGGUAGGAGACGAAAAAAAAGUAGUCGCUACCAAGAAUCAAUCCCAAAAGGUCGGGGCGAGGCGUGAGGCUUUCAAACUAGGUUCUGGGUUCAUAAAAGACCUGAAUCAGGAACAAGGGCUAUUAGCUCAGGUGGUUAGAGCGCACCCCUGAUAAGGGUGAGGUCCCUGGUUCGAGUCCAGGAUGGCCCACCUGCACAGGUGGUAAAAACAAAGAAAAGAAGCGAGGAAUCAGCACCUUAUCUUAUCUAUAUAUAAGUAAGAGAGAAUGCUGGCUCUAAGUGAAGAGUCCAGAGGAACCUUGAAAACUGCAUAGAGCUAGGUGAAAAAGCCAAAAAAGAAGACCGCAA